AUUUUAGAUCCAACAAAGAAGAUAAGAUGAUUUAACUCUUAAAGAGUGCACACACAUGUAUACAUGGAUGAACCUUUGAUUUUUGUUUUUGUCAUUAGGGAUUGGAAAGCUAGAAAUCUCUCGGGACCUAGAAAGCAUUUGGAGAGAUCUGGAUCCUGUCAAUUACUUAUGCUGUCUUUGUCUACAGAGGAACCAAGGGAAACUGACUUCUCUUCUCUGGCUUCACGGAGGGUUAAGGUUUGGUCAUCACCAACUCUGUGAUUAUGGCUCCAGAAUCCUCCUCCAGACUUAGGAUUUGGGCAAAAUCUCUGCCAAUUAGUGCUGAUACUCUCUCCUUUCUUUCUGCUUCCAGAAAAAUGGAUGGAUAUUAUAUGCGCUCUAAAGGAUUAUGUUAACUAUUUUCUGAUAAAAAUUCCCUAACCCAUCUGCUUUACUUUCUAAGUUUUAGUCAGAUUUAUUUAAUAUUCUUUAUUCAUGUGUGCUGCAUGUGGAAGAACCUGCCUUGAUAUAUAUAUAUAUUUACUACAUGAAUGCGAGAACUCUUGAAAACCAAAGAGCAUCUCCUGAGAUAGUUACAGGUAGUUGUGAGCUGCCACAACAGAGCUGGGAACUGAACCAAAUCCUCUGUGGCAGCAAUAGGUGUUCUUAACCGCAGCACCAUCUUUCCAGCCUAUGUGCCUACUCUAAAUUUGACAAGGUUUGCUCCUAUUCAAUAGAAUUAGGCACGGAAGACGUGCUUCCCAUGAAUUACUGAUGACAGAAAAGUUACUGUGGUGUAGCAAAUGCAAUUGCUGUUGUGCUGACUUUUUUGGAUUCUUCCUGAGAAUCCAUUCCCUUUCUUCUCUGCCCAGCUCUGUGCUGACAGCUGUACCUCUCCAGUGUUCCUCUGGCAGAUGGCUUCAUCAGUGGGGAGUUCAGGAGACACAGAGAGCACGCAUGAUAGUUCUUCCUAUACUUUGUUUUGUCUUAGUGCCAGGAGUCUGAGUUGUGUCCUUCCAGGUUUACAAUUCUCUUCAAAGGACUCUUCCUCCAGGUCUGCAGCUAUUCAUGAGGCAAUGAUGCACUUGCACCCUGUGGGCUUGAAAAGACUGGACUUCCUGUUGUCCUCCAGCCCUUACUUUACAGGUUUAAAAAAGUAUAGCUAAAAAGUAACAAAUAAUAUCCUGGCUCAUUUUAAAGAAGAUGAAUCUAACAAGAAUACCAGGAUGGUUUCAGAUGAAGUAUCAGUGUGACCGACAGGCGUGGGAUCUCUGUGAAUGUUAAGCUGCUGGCAAUGCCACCUGUCAAUAUGCCCACCCACGGCCAUCUCUUGUGCACUAAACAUCACUUCCAAGCAGAGUCUAUGUCAGAAACAGCUCCCUGCUUCCCCUGCUAGAGAACACAUAAGAAGACCAAGUUGUCCAUUGGGUGUAUAUGUCAGGGGGCCUAAAUCCAGUCCAUGAAUGAUCCUUGGUUGGUGCUUCAAUCUCGAAAUGUAUGUGCAGCCAAGAACACUGUGUGGUUAUUGGAUUUCACUUUCAACUUCAAGUGCUGCCCACUGCUGUGAGAGACAUUAAUAUUAAGUUCUAAAACAAAGGUCUGAGCUGGAAAGACAUUUGAUAGGAUGCACCACAAAGGUGGUAAAUCAUGUGAGUACAAAGCCCUGAUUAGAGAUCAUGUUUACAAAGAGAAUCAGGCAAGAUGGGAAGCAGCAUUCUCCACCAGAAAAGAAUGGUGUUUUAAAGGAAAAGCAUUGCUCCCAAUACAAAGAAGUGGCCCCUGAGUCAUCUCUUGCACUGAGUCCCAGGAUCUGAAAAGCACCCUUGGAAAUCAUCUGUGACUAUGGCAUGGGCAAUUAGCAAUGUAAGAUAUGCUCUUCAUGCAUUCAAGCUACUACAAUCCAAUACUAUAUACCCAGGCGAUACAGGGAUGGCAAGAAUAACAAUGGUUUAAACAAGUGACUAAUUCCAUAAGACAUUCUACUCACUGAGACUGUUCUCAUGUCCAGCCUCAAACUUCAUGAGAGACUUGGAUUUUAUCAUCUUCUGGUCAAUUUGAUUCCAUACUGUUUCUGCAAGCUGAGACUCUUGACAUGCUCUGUAACUCUAGUAUUGCAGAAUACAAUUUUCAUUUUGAUACAUCGCUCUGUAACUGGUCUGGUGGAAAGGUAUUCUAAAGAGACACCUUUAUCUCUCAAUCUGACUGUCAGACCAUUGAAACAAUAGACUCUAAAGAAAUGGGGAUUUCCCCAGGAAUGUCAUGCUGGGAGAAGGGAAAGAGCCAGCCAGAGGAGGGACUAGUCUCUAGGAGCGAUUUCACACAGUUCUAACAACUGAGACUGUGGCUUAGACAGCGAGAGGACAGUGGUGGGCAGGACCGGGGCUGUUCAGAUGUGUAUGCUUCUCCUGUUUUUAAAUGUUAAUCUUACUUCAGGGGCAGGAAGAUGGACUUGAGGGCUUCCCUGGAUUUCUUGUCCUUCUUCCCAGAGCCACCACAUUAAAGAAAUUUUUCUGCUUUCCACUAUCAAUAAGCCUCUUUUAACUGCGUGAUUGAAGACUGUUGGCUGAACCUGAACCCACCCCAGUUUGAUAACUAUUGAUGUCGGCCUCUAAGCCAAUAAUUACUUACUGACCAGAUGUUCAACCAAACAAAACCUAAAGAGAAAUGAAAGAAAACCAUUCUUUUAGUAUCAGUAAGUAGGUGAGGUGGCUUCACGUAACAGCAGAGCAGCCUUCCGUGAGGGUUUGCAUACACGUUUGUAACACAUUCCCUCUAAGGUCUUUAUUUUGUGUGUUAACAUGAAAACUUAAUUCCUGCAUAUAAACAUAACCCAUUUUACUUACAAAUGGUGGCAUUUAACAGGUCUCUGCUGCUAUCAGAGAGAUAUCACCAAACAUUUUGGGACACUGAGAAAACAAAAUGGGAGUAAAACUAGGGGUGGGGAAGGUAAAGGCCACAAAACAAGUGAAAUAACUAGUGCUGCUCCCAAAGAAAGUGGACAUCCCUUGCUUCUCACUGUACUGAGGAAGACAGGACCGCCACUAACAACAUUCACCCAGAGGGCACGCAAAGGUGUCCAUCAGCGCGCCAGUCACGGCUUCCCCAGCACACCAGAGCUGUGGAACAGCUCAGCAGAUAGUACUCUUCGCUGCCACACCCUUUUCAGAGUCUUGGAACUGGAAAACUAAAUAGGAACUCAAAAUGAAUUGCUUUCUUUGUUACAGAUUAAAAGCAUACGAGAGUUAAUCACUCCGGGAUAGCUGAGUCCCAGAGGCAAGAACACAGAUGAUCUCAGAGGAAUCUGCUUUGCCCUUAUGGUUCUGUGAUGGUGGAUUCUGUAAAAGGGAUAAACAAUAGAAACUACUGAAUAUUCAUGAGUGGAAUUUAUUGUAAUGUUGAAAGUGAACUUUAAUUUCCUUAAGAGAAAUAUCUGAAUGGUGGUUGGUAGCCAAAAGAGCAAAAAAUAGAGGUUGUAUUAUAGAUUUUAUACUUAUUAUGAAAUAAGGAGUAAGAAGUGCGAGGAUGAAUGACUAAUUCUGAGUAUGGAAAAAUGUUAUAAUGGUGUUCCUAUGGGGACAAUUGGGAUCAAAUAAGCCGAAUAUAUUAAAACCAUGAGAGUAGUGAAGGGGAAGAAUUUGUUGAUGACAAACUAUUUAGUCUAACAAAGGGUAAAGAGAAAGAAAUCCCAGAGGACUAUAAAAAGUAAUCAUUGAUGAACACAAUAGCAGCUAAAUUCAACACAGACGGGUACCAUGGAAAAAAAUAACCAGAAGAAAAUUAGAUACUUUACAUAUGCCAAAUGUUUCCUAAUGGCCUGUAACCUUCCUGCACAAACAUUUACAGUACGUACCUUAUCCUCAGUUUUGCUUUGCAAAGUUUGAGUUACUCAUGGCAAAAUUAGGGUUGCAAAUAUUCGGUGGAAAAUUCCGAAAGUGAACAACUGAAGAGCUGUAACUACUCACUAGAGCUACAUGGUGUAUAGUUGCUCUGCUUUGCCAUUAGUGGUUGUUGCGGGGCUCCUACUAUGCUAAUUGAUGGAUGAAGCUUCAUCAUGUGUACAAACCACCCAGACAGAACGUGAUAGUGGGGGCUCAGUGCGGUUCAUGGCUGCAGGGACGACAGGGUCUUCGAGGGUUCCUAGCAAAUAACGUGGACCACUGAGUGUCCUUUGUGGUCAAUUCUAUGAAAGCAACUACUUUUCAAGUAAACGUGUUGAAAGAAUGGAUGAAAUAUUUGUAGAGUUAAGUGGGAUAGAGAAGCUAUACUGGGGUUUGGUAACAUUCUAAUAAAUUAUUUGUGGGUUCCUGGCUUAAAAGAAAAAUGGAAGAAGAAAUUUCACACUGAUUUACAGGAUUUCCAAAUGAAAUGAUCGCUCCUACUAGUUUUUAACUUGUUCCAAAGGAGGCACCAACACAGAGAAAGGCUGAGAGAAGAAGCAAGGGGUACACGGUGUGUGAGAGAUGUCUCCCUGGGAACAGCAUUUGACAGUUGGAGAAGAGGCUCUGGAAAAAAAGGAGCAUUGUGUGUUCAGGUUCCCCAAAUAAUAGCUUUCCUUCAGCUUGAGACUUAUGUAGGCAGACACAAACACAGCUGUACCUCAAACCACAUCCUUCCUGUCCAGAAAGAACUGCUUGUGUUCAGUGUCCCCACAAAUAAACUCACACCAUCAUGGAUUGUCAUAUACAUGUCUAAGCGAGGGUUAAGGUGAAGUUCUUCCCGAGGCUUAGUGCAUGGAGAAAGAAAAAGCCACACAAACAGAAGCCUGGACGUAUGGUAGAGGGAGGAGCAACUGAAGAUAUAUGUUUAUGCUAUAACAUUAGAGAUUAAAAUUAAAACAUACUUCUUUUAUCUCAAUGUAAUUGAGGUAUUAUUCAGAUAUAACAGAUACCCAAGGCAAUCCACUAACCAGGAGAACACUUACUUUGGCUCUUGCUUUGGGAGGUUUUGUUUCUGAGCAAAUGGUUGCUUGGUUUGGGCUCAUGGUGGCAGGUAUGUCGUGGCAGGAAGUGAGCUGAACAAGCCUGAUUACCUCGCAGGGCUAAGAAGAAAAAAAGCAUAGGUCUGGAGACUUUUGAUCCUUCUCGAGGGCAAUGCUAC
Long non-coding RNA from Meriones unguiculatus (Mongolian gerbil), 5076 nucleotides. RefSeq lists it as uncharacterized. The record is from RefSeq and is a predicted model, not a curated record. The transcript has 7 exons. NCBI's taxonomy places the organism in Eukaryota, Metazoa, Chordata, Mammalia, Rodentia, Muridae.